AUUAUGAAAAUAUAAUUAUUUAAAGGUAAAUUUGAGAAAUUGUAUCAAAUUUGUGGUAAAACUAAAAUUAUUCCAUAAAUAUGAAGUCUUCUGUUAGAACACUCAUGUAAUCAAAAAGUGAAAACAUAUUAUAUAAAGCACCAGAAGAGUAAACUAUUUAAAAAUAUCUUUUCAGCUAUCUUGUUAUUCCAAAAAAAAAAAAAAUAUCCCUUUCAGCAUUUAUAUUCUCAGGAAAGGUAAACUUGAGUGUAAAUAAUCAAUUAUCUAAAAUGAAAUCGUAAUAAUUAAUUAUAUUUGUUGACCAAAACGAUAGUGAUCUAGUUGUUGGUAUACACAUCACUAAGAACAUAUAUAAUCAAUGUAAAGCACAUAUCUUGCGAUUUUUAUUAUCCACUGAAUCCAUAAAGAAAGAAAAUGAUCGUUAGAAGAAUGGUUACAUCGGAAUCCAAAUUCGAAAUCAACAUAGUCGCAUGCUUACUCUAUGUCUACCUUCUCAUAACACCUGUAAAGGCAUUUCCCUGAAAUUAUAUUUAUCAUUUGAAACUUCUUUUAGUUAGUACUAACUAUAAUAAUUUGGAGAAAU
RNAcentral lists this long non-coding RNA (583 nucleotides) under Brassica napus (rape). RNAcentral's name for it is "long non-coding RNA (BNAP_LNC005522)". The record is from RNAcentral. Lineage: Eukaryota; Viridiplantae; Streptophyta; Magnoliopsida; Brassicales; Brassicaceae.